Molecule: long non-coding RNA, 24104 nt
Filed under: Mytilus galloprovincialis (Mediterranean mussel)
Lineage: Eukaryota; Metazoa; Mollusca; Bivalvia; Mytilida; Mytilidae
Source: RNAcentral
AGAAAAGGUGCGAAAAGUGAGGUAAAAAUUGUGUUGAAACAGAAAUAUUGGACUAAAAAGACAAGAUGGCAUGGAAGAUACUUUUACAUUCAUUAGUUCUAAUUGGAUUUUUCAUCGAAGGUAGGAUUUGAAUAUGCUAUUUAAUAAUUCUCAGUAUGAAGACGAAUACAGGUGAUCACGAUUUUAAUUACAUAAAUAAUGUACAUGUACAUACAUUGUAUCUAUACCUACAUAUACCUAUUAUAUUAAUAUACCUUUGUUAUAUGGGCUGUUAAUUACUAUUCACACAAAAAAAGAAAAUUACAGUAACGAAAUUCAAUUAAAUAAACAGAAGCCGAAGUUGGACGUAUUUAAACAAAGAGUGAACACAAAUAGGUGUUCAAUUUGAUAAAAAGAAAAAAAACCUGAACAAUGAGUAUUGUUUUUUUUUGUUAAUAACUCUGAUAUAUGUAUUUUUUUUCGAAAUAUUAUAACCUAGAAAAUGAAAGAACUUCACCCAUGACUUCACGUAUUCAUGAACUAACUAGGGUAUUUUUAACCAUACAUUACUGUUGCCUCAUCAACCGUCAAUUUAUAGCACAAAAAGAACACAUUUUUAUGACUUUUUACACAAUUUAAUAAAAGUACAUUGUAAUAAAAUAAGGCUUUGUUAAUCCUUUUGUAUUUGUUCAAUCCAGUUAAAACGAAUCAAACACUUUGUCAAGGAGAUGUUAGAGACACCAAAAAUAUGUGUCGAGUUUUACAUGCAUAUAUGUACAUGUAAUAUACGGUUGCAGGUCAUACAAAUUGUAAACAUGGUAAAUCCAUUUCGUUGUGUAUGUAUAAAUAAUUUAUAUCAUGUGUGUCGAUUUACGAACAUCUUAUAAAACUUUAAUAAGAUCAACAUAUGUCAUUGAUUUCUUUUUAACUACACCUGGUAAUGAACUACAAUUGAGACGAGAAUUGGCCUCGUCUUUUUAAAUUCGUGUGAAUAUGCCCAUGGCGUAUAUUUUGAUAUAAAAUGGUAUAACCUAUCAGAAAAUGACCCCCUCUUCGAUGAAUUGAUAUAUUGACGCGUUCUUCACGAACAGUGGCAAAUAUUUCAUGCAUAUUCAUGACAAUCUUCGUUCAUCUUUUCUCCGAAUGCGAACCACUUCAUUUUGACAUCCUUAUUGUGUGUUUUAAACCAAAAAUCGUACGACAAAAAAUAACCGUAAGCUAAGCUGAAAUGUUAAUGACUUCCGAGUAUUAUUUCUCGUACGAUAUUUCGUGAAAUGAGUGUCACUGCUGGAUUGGCAUUUUAAUGAAAUUUGAUUGCAUAUAUAUAUGCAGAAAUAAAGGAAGUCAUAUAUAGUUAUAAAAUACUUUAAGAUAUAUAGGAAGUGAAAUUUUGACUCUCUGAAGUGAAAUCGGAAGACAGGCUCAGAGUGUUGGAUGAUCCGAUCAUUUUCCAGUUCUUAUUUAUGAAUUAUAAGAAACCAAAUUAAAAACCGGUAUAAUAAUCAAGAUUAAGCUUUAUUUCUAAAUACAAAUCUUUAACAUGUAUAUCUAAUGGAAAAAAAAUUCAUCCAGUCUACAUUUAACUAAUCUCGGAACUAUUCAGGCAAUCUGUAUUAGUACAUAUAUAUAUAUAUAUAUAUAAUACAUGUAAGGAUUUCCCCCCAAAUACAUGUAACUUGAGUACAUGCUUUAUACACGUUUAGCCAUGUUAAAUGUCCAAGUUAAGUUUCCUUUCCUAUUGAUUUAAAGAAGGCCGUAUAAAAACAAAUCCACUGGAAUGCGUAUUGUAUAGUAAAUCGUUAUGAACUAGAUGUAGAACUUGUGGUCAACCGAUCGAUAAAAUACAACCAUGGCCCCAUAGGUCUGUUGCCUGUUAAUCAAUUGACACAGUGGCGCAUAUAUCAACGGUUAUAUAUCGAAUAUAUUUAACCUACAUUUGUGUACUGCCAUUAAGUGUUACAUGUAUGAAAGGUCGAAAAGUCAUUGUAAUACACAAUUAAUUGAAGGUCUUGCUCGACGAUACACACAAGGCUCAACGAUGCAUUUUUAGAUUUUAAGAAGACGGUAUAAAUACAAAAAAACGAACAAUAAUAGGGAAUACAUAGUCGCAAUUAAUUGAAAAAGAGGGAUGGUUGUAAAAGCUCGGGGGAGGGCAACUCCUGUAUACAAUUUGAUAGGACGUGCCGCUGGAAUAGGUCACCUUUAUAAGCAUCAAUAUAUGUGGACGGGUUGGGAAAAUUGUAUGAUAAGGUAAACAAAGUUCCUACAACUUCUCCGUCGGUCAUCUUCCUUGUGUUUUCCUGUUGUGUUUUUUUCUACCAAUUUUUCUCUUUUGACACUUUGGUAUACUUUACUCAUAUAAAACCCAAACAAUAUGGGGAAAGGUGCUGAAGACCGCGAAAAGUCACAUUUUGUACCAUAUAUAUAUAUAAGUACGUCUGAGCCAGUAACAACUCUACAACAGAUUUAUCCAUCGGAUCACAGCAAAUUUACAGAUCUAACAUUGUGGGUAUAUAUAAUAUAUAUAUAUAUAUAUAUAUAUAUAUAUAUAUAUAUAUAAUAUAUAUAUAUAUAUAUACAACUCGUCUAAACAUUAACCCAACAAUGUUAGACCUGCAAUUUUUUUGUUCUUUCCUCGCCGGGAUUCGAUCCCAUGCUACUGAGAUAUAGUGACACCAAAUCGCCUACACUGUAUCUGUUGUAGAGUUGUCACUGGCUCAGACGUACUUAUAUAUAUAUAUACAAGCCCAGGUGGUCGUGUGGUCUAGCGGGACGGCUUCAGUGCAGGCGAUUUGGUAUCACGAUAUCUCAGUAGCAUGGGUUCGAAUCCCGGCGAGGGAAGAACAAAAAAUUUGCAAAAGCAAAUUUACAGAUCUAACAUUGUUGGGUUGAUGUUUAGACGAGUUGUAUAUAUAUAUAUAUACACAUGUAUGAAUAGCUACACACAGCAAUAAGGGAAUAGUACCUUUUAUAUCAGAAAGCUCUAUUAUCUUCACGAACAAAGAAAACAUGUUUAUAUAUGUAUAAUUAUGUUUUCUUUAUUUGUGAAGAUAAUAAAAAAAAAAAACCUUAACUGACAUAAAAUGCAUUCAAAUAUUUGGAAAAAAAAUCAUAUUUUUAUAGAAUAAAUGUAGCCUCAAAAUAUUUUAAAGUAAGAAAUAAAUAGUACACACUAAGAAAUAUGUCAGUUCUUCCUGUUUUACGUAAGAAUACAAUGAUAUUGUCCAAUAAGACAAAAGUAAUCAUGUAAUUAUCUUCUUUGGUUUCACUGUUCCCCGUAUUUUCCCAUUUCCCACUGACGUCUAUAUCACUAUGUUAUAAAAACGAGACAGAAUAAAAUUUCUUUUGUAGUCACUUACUUAAAUUAAGGUAAUUUUUACCGCAAAGGAAGACAUUUAAAUAAGAUAGAUGAGAAUUACAUAAAAUAAAUUGGCCAUGUCAUUUUGUAGUUUUCGCACAAGUUAUAAGAGAAAUCUAACCACUGGUUUAUCGGAUUUAUGUAGUGGCAUGUUUUGGAUAAAAAUCAACACCGAUAGCGUGGCCACAUGCAUGUUUUAAAAAUAACAUAGAAAUUAAACAAAAAUGCCAUGCCAUGAUCCCCGAAAAACAAUAACGCUGGCAUGUUGAACAUCUCGAUUCCUUAGUAUUGCAAAUCUGAUAUGUAGCAUUCGUCAUGAUUAAACAGGUCAUACUGGAUUGACAGAACGGACAAUUGGAUUUAUGACUGAUGUUCAUUGAUAUCUUCGGAAACAAUCUAAUUUGAAAUCAUGUUCGCCAGUUCUGGAUCUUCUGAAAUAAUCCCGAACCAAGUUUGACAUCAUUAGAAAUAGUCUUAAUAGUAUUUAUUUUCUCCAAGUUAGCCAUCUUCUGCACAUAUGAAACAAUACCCCUGUUCGCCAAGAUAUUAGAAACCGUGACUCUGUAACGAUCAGCCAUGAUGGUCACCAAAGAACUGCUUUGUAACCUUGUGUCCACAUUUUUUUCAAUUCAAAACUCCUUUUACAUUUCGGGAGACGAACUGAUUUUGCAUUACCCUACUCUGUUCAUUGUCUGAUUUCCUGUAUAUAAGUGAAAACAAGGUUCACAUUUGUACAUGGUGAUCUUAUCUUCAGUAAUAUUAAAAUAUAUCUUGAGGCAUAUAUUGUGUUGACAUUUUACCACAACAUCUGUGUCUCACUCGUGGUAUUAAUUGAUUGAAUAGUAUAUAGACGUUAAUAUUACAUCUCAAGUCGUGCAUCACUUGUUUCAUAGUCUCGUAUAAAAAGGUUAUAUUGGCUAGAGGUUUAGAGGGGGUUUGAGAUCUCACAAGCAUAUUUAACCCCGUCUUAUUUUUGCGCCUGACCCAUGUCAGGAGCCUCUGGCCUUUUUUAUUUUUAUUUUUUUAUUUUUAUUUUAGUUCAUUUAUAUGCUUUGAAGUUUAGUAUGACGUCCAUUUUCACUGAACUAGUGCACAUUUGUAUUUAAUGGUCAGCUGAAGCCCAUCUUUGGGUGUUGGAUUUUCUCGCUGCGUUGAAGAACCAUUGGUGGCCUUCAAAUGUUAUCUGCUCUUCGGUCUGGUUGUUGUCUCUUUGACAUAUCCCAUUCUCAAUUUUAUAUGUACUUAACAACAGAGUAAAAAGGCAAUGCAACAAUAUGUAACAACAAGAUAACCUAACAAGCAAAUGUACCGACCCCCCAACAGAUUGAAAGGUCACCAUGCAAAAAUGGAAGUGGCAGUCCAAAUAGCUAUUUGUUUGCCACAUUUAAAUGCUUUUCAUUCAGUUUUUUUUUUGGAUGUUCUUUAAUGUUAGUAACUUGUCUAUAAAACCAUGCUCAAUCCACCAUAAGAAAAUGCUUGUACUAAGUCAUGAAUAUAACAGUUGUUAUCCAUUCGUUUGAUGUGUUUGAGCUCUUGAUUUUCCCAUUUGAUUAGGGACUUUCCGUUUUGAAUUUUCAUCGGAGUUCAGUAUUUUUGUGAUUUUACUUUUUAUCGAUAGUAUAAGAGAAGUGCACUGGAAACUAUGGCUGGGUUCAGUAGCUAUAGUUUUCAGAGAACUCUCAGAUUGAAUGUUGCCGUCUUUAGAUAUCUUUUUGGCAUUUUUUUCGUUUUAUUGCUGUCUUAUUGGCUUUCAUUAUACACCCCCUUUUACUUAUUCAGAAUCUUAUAGCAAGAUCAAUACUGAACUUUCGGUCCUCUAUCUGUUACAUAAUUUUAGUGAACACUGAGAAUCGAGUUUAUAGACUUGAAUCAGUUUCGAGAAAUGCAAGUAAUUUCUAUUUAUUCCUUUAUUUGGGUCUUUGCAAAAAGUUCUAACAUGUAUCUUUAUUUAGCUGCAUUGAAUGGUGUCGAUGGAUUUAUUUUUAGGUUAUAUUUAUGUUUUGUUAUCAAAACAGGGAUUUUCAAUUUUUAGUUUCUGUUUAUUUUGGAGGGUGGAUUUACGAUGAUAUAAACUAAUUUUGAAACAGUUUAUGUUUAAACAUGUAUUGUUUUAAUUUAUAAUUGCAAUGAUCUUUGUUAUUGCACGUUCUGCUUUCACUUCACUGAACACCAGCAUAGUGACGCAUACAUGUACUAAAACAUGCACUACUAAAUGUCAAACUUAAAAAAAAGUAACACAAUUUGUGGACAAUAAUUUAAAACCCUUCCACGCAAAAAAGUCUGAACUUUCGCAUGUGUAAGUGUCGUAAAUAAAUUAUCAGUUUCUCAAAUAUCUUCUUAAAUUUAUGUUAACUAUUGAGAAUACUACAUAUAGAUUUAAUACAUGUUUUUGACAAUGAUAUAAAGAAGGCUGAGUCACCUUUUAAGUAGGUGGUAAACCUUUGUGAAAAAUAAAGUUUAAAACGUGUUUUCUUUUAGUUUGACGAGCUUGACUGAAAAUCUAAAUAAUAUUUAUAAUAUGUAUGGUUUACCGUCUAUAAAUGAUGUUAACUCUUAUAUUUUCUGAAUAAAAAAGUUAAAGUAACCCUUCGCCCCUUUAACUUAUACAAGGGACUGAUAACGAGGAAAUAUAAACUUAUUUGGAAAACAAAAAUUUAUUUUAAGUAGCAGUUGGUUUCAUUCAAAGACACCAUUGUUGUGUGGAAACACUAUAUACUAGUAUAUAAACAACUUAUUUUAACUUGAAGAAACUAGAGGAUCUUGAGGACAUGUGUCGCUCGCAUGGAGCAAUAUGUUUCUUCAACAAUCGCCACCCAUUGUGACUUGACUUAAUACUCUUCGUUCCUUGUGGAACAUAGGGCUGCCACAGUCGUACCCACUGUAGAAAAGAAUAAAAAUUCUGACUAAAAUCUCUGUAUUGUUGCUAUUCUUUUGGAGAUUUAUUUCUGUUUAGAAGAUAUCUAUCUAUUAUAGUCUUCAUCUACUGUUUAUAAACGUUUGUUCAAGUCCUUCGAUUCAUGAUCUUUCUUGAGAUUAUUUGAGAUUCUUGAUAGCUUGUCUUUUAGCUAAUCAUAAAUGGGUUGCAGAAACUCUACAAAGAGAAACAAUUAAUUGUUAAUACCGAAUUAUUCAUUCCCUGUGUCACCUCAUGACACACUUCAAUAUUUUUUUACUACGAUGGUGUCUAACAACACUCAUAUUUGAUUUAAAAAUAUUUAUUUAUAGUGGAUUGGGAAACAAGUUAUUACAACUUAUAUUAAUCCCUUUCCACUUUGCGGGUGCGGUUGCUGCCUUUUAGCAGCAUUAGCCUGCUCUAUUCGAAAUGUACAAGGGUGUCUUUUACGUGCAAGAGAUAUGGCUCUCUCUUAACACAGGUCAGCCAUUUAUCGUCCCCAUCCGACGGACUAUCAUCGUUUUUCGAGACCAUACUCACCAAUUCAAUGGUGUCAAAAUGGUCAAAGGAUAUGUAUUGUAUACUGAAGUACUUGUGCAUAUAAGCAAUCACUUAUACUUAUGAAUAUCGACAUUUUUGUAUAUUUUCACAAAUAUGUUAAAGGAGCACUAGCUGUCAAAUUCAUUUUCACUGAUUUUAAACAAAUUCUCAUAUUUGAUUUAUAACAAUGUAAAACAUUUAUCCAAACUAUUAAAAGUCUAAAAUAAAGAACGAAUAGGACACGGGCAUGAAAAUACGUAGCUUCGUUUCGCGUGUAUUUUAUUCCAGACGCCAUAUAAUUAAUUAUCGAGUUGACCUCUAAAGUCGUUUUUACCUGUAUAAGAAUGAUUGUUUGUGGAUCGAAUCAGUCAAUCAAAUGAUUUACCUCUGUUUCACUUUCAAUGUUGACAUUCUUUUCCUUUGAAUAAUUUUACAUAUUCACGUAUUAUCCAUAAAGUUCACAUGAAUACGGAUUCAUUGAGGUCGAAUUAUUUACUUACAAGUAAAUAAUUCAUAAUCAAUGUUUUUUAGCUUAUUUUGACAAAAUUGAACAAUAUUGGCUGCCAAAGGCCAAUUAUUAUUUCGCUAUUUGCUUUUCACUAAUGAUUAAACAAAAAAACAAAAAAAAAAAAUAAUAUAUUUGAUUUUUUAUAUACCUCGUAGCUAGUGCCCCUUUAACAUUAGGGUUCGUUAGAAAUAUAUCUGUGUAGACAUAUAACGUGUAUUUUUAACGAACUUUGUUUAUUUUUUGUCCUACAUUUUAGUUAAAAUUGACAAAACAAUUUAAAAAGGGUUAAUUAUAUAUAUAUGUACAUAAGACUGUGGUACAUGUACUUAGUUGUUAUACUAAUUUUCAAAACAAAUAUAGUAAAGACUAUAGUUUAAACGUUUUCAUGAACGUGACAUUUAAAUUUAGGUUUGAUAUUUUGUAUAACGUUGAAAUAUAAGUUGAAAACUCAUUGUAUUGAAACCUCAAACAAUACAAAUCUAACUAUACGAAAAGUCGACAUUUCGGGUAGUAUGGGGAAGUUAUAGAAAUAGAAAGAUAAAUACAAAUCUGUAAAAUUUGAACGAAUUGAAAUAUGCUUGUUUGAUGGGUGGAUAUAUUAUAUCAGUGUUCAUCGUACAGUGGCGACUAUUACAUGUAUCUCAGGACUAACAAAUGCUGAUGUAAUGGGCCAUUCCAGUUAAUUUCUGACAGGUGGGGAUGGAGGGAGUUUUUUGAUACGUAUCAGAAAAAAACAUCAUGAAAAACUACCAUCUAAAAAAAUAAGACCUAUCAGAUGAAGAGUCCUGUUCAGUUGGGAGAUGGGCUUCAUGGAAAAAAUGACCUAUCAGAUUUUUUUACUGCAGAUGUACCAUCAUUAUUUUAAACCCAGAUAAUGCAUCAUACGAAACUUUACAUUUCAAAGCACCCUCAGAUCUGACAGAGGCAUUUUUACCCCUAAUAAUAAUCAUUUUUAAUUAUUUACUGCUGCCAAGACCUCAGAAGUUUGCGUAUAAGUUACCUGUCAGAUAAAAACCCAAAAUUUCACCCCUAAGAUGUAUAAAUUUUACACCCCUCAGAAAGGACCAUCCAUCCCCCUUUAGCAGAUAUUAACUGGAACGGCCCAAUAUCAAUAUGAACCCUGCUUUUGACCAAAAGACUUAAUAAAGUUUAACGUAUUUGUUUGACUACAGUGGAGAUCACUUCUAAUCUCUCAUUAGAACUGUCAGAAUAUUAAUCUGUCUUAGAACUGUUCUAAGCUAUCCUAGAACAGUUCUACCUAGAACAGUUCUGCAUAGAACAGUUCUAAGGUAUAGAAUAGUUCUACCUUAGAACUGUUCUAAGUAGAACUGNNNNNNNNNNNNNNNNNNNNNNNNNNNNNNNNNNNNNNNNNNNNNNNNNNNNNNNNNNNNNNNNNNNNNNNNNNNNNNNNNNNNNNNNNNNNNNNNNNNNNNNNNNNNNNNNNNNNNNNNNNNNNNNNNNNNNNNNNNNNNNNNNNNNNNNNNNNNNNNNNNNNNNNNNNNNNNNNNNNNNNNNNNNNNNNNNNNNNNNNNNNNNNNNNNNNNNNNNNNNNNNNNNNNNNNNNNNNNNNNNNNNNNNNNNNNNNNNNNNNNNNNNNNNNNNNNNNNNNNNNNNNNNNNNNNNNNNNNNNNNNNNNNNNNNNNNNNNNNNNNNNNNNNNNNNNNNNNNNNNNNNNNNNNNNNNNNNNNNNNNNNNNNNNNNNNNNNNNNNNNNNNNNNNNNNNNNNNNNNNNNNNNNNNNNNNNNNNNNNNNNNNNNNNNNNNNNNNNNNNNNNNNNNNNNNNNNNNNNNNNNNNNNNNNNNNNNNNNNNNNNNNNNNNNNNNNNNNNNNNNNNNNNNNNNNNNNNNNNNNNNNNNNNNNNNNNNNNNNNNNNNNNNNNNNNNNNNNNNNNNNNNNNNNNNNNNNNNNNNNNNNNNNNNNNNNNNNNNNNNNNNNNNNNNNNNNNNNNNNNNNNNNNNNNNNNNNNNNNNNNNNNNNNNNNNNNNNNNNNNNNNNNNNNNNNNNNNNNNNNNNNNNNNNNNNNNNNNNNNNNNNNNNNNNNNNNNNNNNNNNNNNNNNNNNNNNNNNNNNNNNNNNNNNNNNNNNNNNNNNNNNNNNNNNNNNNNNNNNNNNNNNNNNNNNNNNNNNNNNNNNNNNNNNNNNNNNNNNNNNNNNNNNNNNNNNNNNNNNNNNNNNNNNNNNNNNNNNNNNNNNNNNNNNNNNNNNNNNNNNNNNNNNNNNNNNNNNNNNNNNNNNNNNNNNNNNNNNNNNNNNNNNNNNNNNNNNNNNNNNNNNNNNNNNNNNNNNNNNNNNNNNNNNNNNNNNNNNNNNNNNNNNNNNNNNNNNNNNNNNAUUUUGACUCUCUGAAGUGAAAUCGGAAGACAAGGCCUCAGAGUUGGGUGAUCCGAUCAUUUUCCAGUUCUUAUUUAUGAAUUAAAAGAAAACCAAAUUAAAAACCGGUUAUAAUCAAGAUUAAGCUUUAUUUCUAAAUACAACAUGUUUAUCAAGUGGGUCUCAUUGGGGUCUAAGCGUGACGCGGGAUUGCCGAUUUUUUUGUAAGCGUGACACGUGAAAGUCAAAUUAUUGUGCCGUGAAAACGGGAAAUGAAGUCUAGCGGGACACGGGAAAGUGUAAGUGGGAUACGGGAAUUUGACAAAACAGUAAGAGGGAUCUGGGAUCAGAACCCCCCCAGUGAGACCCCCUAUCAAAUUGUAAAAUUCUUCCAGUCUACAUUUAAGUAAUCUCGGAACUAUUUAGUCAAUCUGUAUUAGUACAUAUACAUGUAAGGAUUUCCCCCAAACAUAACUUGUGUCUAUAUGCUUUAUACACGUUUAACCAUGUUAAAUGUCCAAGGUUAAGUUCCCUUUCCUAUUGAUUUAAAGAAGGCCCUCGAGAAGGCCUUAUAAAAACUAAUCCGCUGGAAUACGUAUUGUAUAGUAAAAAUGUAGAACUUGUGGUCAACCGGUCGAUAAAAUAUACAAUCAUGGCCCCAUAGGUCUGUUGUCUGUUAAUAAUUUGACACAGUGGCGCAUAUAUAUACUGAUAAUAUAUUAGAUAUAUUUAAACUACAUUUGUCUACUGCCAUUUAGUGUUACAUGUAUGAAAGGUCAAACAUUCAUUGUAAUACACAAUUGAUUGAAGGUCUUGCUCGUCGAUGCACACAAUUAACCGAAGGUUUUGCUACGCGAUGCAUUCUUAGAUGUUAAAGUAUACGGUAAAUACAAGAAAACGAAAAGGAAUGAAGUUAGGGAAUAUAUAGUUAUUUUAAAGUAGACGGUAAAUGUACAAGAAAACGAACAGUUAUGAAGUAAGGGAAUACAUAGUUCAGUUAAUUGAAAUUAAAGGCAUUGCCGGAUCAAGUUGGGGGGGGGGGGGGGGGGGCGGGGUUGGAACCCCUUUCUUGGCGAGCAAUGCAUUUGAAUGGGACAUAAGUUGGAACCCCCCCUUUAAAUGGCUGGAUCCGCCCUGAGAGGAGGAUUGUAAAAGCUCGGGGGAGGGCAACUCCUAUACACAAUGUGAUAGGACGUGCCGCUGGAAUAGACCACCUUUUUCAAACAUAAAACUAUGUGGAUAGUUUGGGAAAACUAUCAGUAGCCCUUUUCACAAAAUUUAAGUGUAAAAUUUAUCGUAAGUCUAAUAUUUCUUAACAAUUCACAAAUUUUUAUUCGUAAGAUUAAUUUUACACUACGAUUUUUUGUGAAAAGCUUCGUAAUCAGUGUAUAUAAGGAAACAAAGUUCUAUAACUUCUUCGUCGUCAUUUUCCUUGUGUUCCUUUUGUGUUUUAUACGACCGCAAAAUUUGAAAAAUUUUUUCGUCGUAUAUUGCUAUCACGUUGGCGUCGCUCGUCGUCCGUCGUCCGAAACUUUAGUUUUCGCACUCUAACUUUAGUAAAAGUGAAUGGAAUCUAUGAAAUUUUAACACAAGGUUUUAUGACACAAAAAAGGUUGGUAUUGAUUUUGGGAGUUUUGGUCCCAACUUUUAGAAUUAGGGGCCAAAAAGGGCCCAAAUAAGCAUUUUCUUGGUUUUCGCACUAUAACUUUAUUUAAGUUAAUAGAAAUCUAUGAAAUUUGACAAGGUUUAUGACACAAAAGAACGUUGGGAUUGAUUUUGGGAGUUUUGGUUUCAACAGUUAGAAUUAGGCCAAAAGGGCAAAUAAGCAUUAUUCUUGGUUUUCGCACAAUAACUUUAGUUUAAGUAAUAGAAAUAAUGAAUUUAAACACCAUGUUAUGACUAAAAAGGAAGGUUGGUAUGAUUUUGGGAGUUUAGGUCCACAGUUUAGGAUUAGGGGCCAAAAAGGGACCCAAAUAAGCAUUUUUUCUUGGUUUUCGCACCAUAACGUUAGUAUAAGUAAUAGAAAUCUAUGAAAUUUAAACACAGGUUUAUGACCAUAAAAGGAAGGUUGGUAUUGAUUUGGGAGUUUUGGUCCCAACAGAAUAAGGGGCCCAAAGGGUCCAAAAUUAAACUUUGUUUUGAUUUCAUCAAAAUUGAAUAAUUGGGGUUUCUUUGUAUGCCGAAUCUAACUGUCAUGACUGUGUAUGUAGAUUCUUAACUUUUGGUCCCGUUUUCAAUUGGUCUACAUAAGGUCCAAAUGGUAAAAUUAAACUUAGUUUGAUUUUGACAAAAAAUGAAUCGUUGGUUCUUUGAUUGCUGAAUCUAAAUGUACUUAGAUUCUUGAUUAUUGGCCCAGUUUCAAGUUGGUCCAAAUCGGGGUCCAAAAUUAAACUUGUUUGAUUUCAUCAAAUUGAAUAAAUGGGUUUCUCUUGAUAUACAAAUCUAACUGUGUAUGUAGAUUCUUCAUUUUUUGUCCUGUUUUCAAAAGUAAAAGGGUCCAAAAUUAAACUUAGUCUGAUUUUAACAAAAUUGAAAUCUUGGGGUUCUUUGAUUGCUGAAUCCUAAAAUGUACUUAGAUUUUUAUUAUGGGCCCAGUUUUCAAGUUUUCAAAUCAGGAUCUAAAAUUAUUAUAUUAAGUAUUGUGCAAUAGCAAGUCUUUUCAAUUGCACAGUAUUGCGCAAUGGCAAGAAAUAUCUAAUUGCACAAUAUUGUGAAAUAGCAAAUUUUUUUUUAAUUAGAGUUAUCUUUCUUUGUCCAGAAUAGUAAGCAAGAAAUAUCUAAUUGCAAAAUAUUGUGCAAUAGCAAGAUUUUUUUUUAAUUGGAGUUAUCUUUCUUUGUCCAGAAUCAACUUAAAUCUUUGUUAUAUACAAUAUACAAUGUAUAUUCACUUUUUACUACCAACUGAUAAAUUAAAAUAAUCUUUACCAUUCAGUGAUAACAAGCAGUUUUUUUACAUCUUAUUUCUUAUCUAUCUAAAAUGUUUUUAGGUAAUGUAUGUUGGACAUUUGCCAGACAUGACUAUGAUGUCAUUUUCUAUUUUUAUUUGCCAAUAACUGUAUGUAAAUAACUUCAUUGGAAAUUUGUCAAUAUAAAAUGUUGUUGAUGAAGUUUUUUUUAUUGUUUUAUACAAUAAACAAUGUAUAUUUACUUUUACUACCAACCAAUCUUACCAUUCAGUGAUAACAAGCACUUAUUUUACAUUUUAAUAUUUUAUGAUGUAUUUAAAGAGUAGUUAUUGUUUGCAACUCCAUUAGAAAUUUGAUGAUAUCAGUUUUGGAAAAGGGAAACGGGAUGUGAAAAAGGGGGGGUUAAAUUUUUCUCAUUUCAGAUUCAUAAAUAGAAAGAAAAUUUCUUCAACAUUUUUUGAGAGGAUUAAUAUUCAACAGCAUAGUGAAUUGUAAAGCAAAACAAACUUUAAGUUCAUUAGACACAUCAUUUCUUGUCAGAAACCUAUGCUGUGUCAACUAUUUAAUUUUAGAUUUAAAAAGUUGAAGAAGAAAUCUUUAAUUGUAAAAUUUGUAAAAUCUUGACAUUUGUUUUGUGUAAAAAAAAAACAUGUAAUUGUAAUGUCAAAAAUUUGAUCACAAUCCAAAUUCAGAGCUGUAUCACGCUAGAAUGUUUUGUCCAUACUUGCCCCAACUGUUCAGGGUUCGACCUCUGCGGUCGUAUAAAGCUGCGCCCUGCGGAGCACCUGGUUCUCUUUUGGCACUUUGGUAUACUUUAAUCAUAACAAACCCAAACAAUAUGGGGAUAGGUGGUAAAGACUGGGAAAACGUUCAAAUUUUGUACGAUAUUAUGCAUACACAUGUAUGAAUAGUUACACAGCAAUAAGGUCAUAAUACCUUUUAUAUCAGUAAACCUUUUUUAUCUUCACGGACAAAGAAAACAUAGUUAUAUUUGUAUAAUAAUGUUUUCUUUGUUCGUGAAGAUAAAACAAACGUAACUUAUGCUGAUAUAUACAAUGCAUUCAAAUAUUUGUAAAAGUCAUAUAUACAUUGUACAUAUAAUAGGACAAAUGAAUUCAGUACUACAUAGCGUGUUAGAUUUUGUAUACAGUUGUGAUUUUAUGUAGCCCCAAAAUAAUUAAGAAAUAAAUAGUACACACUAAGUAAUAUGUCAGUUCUUUCUAUCGUUUUACGUAAGAAUACAAUGAUAUUGUCCAAUAAGACAAAAAAGUAAGCAUGUAAUUAUCUUCUUUGGUUUCACUAUUUCCCGUAUUUUCCCAUAUACCUUUGACGUCUAUCUCAUUGUAAUAUAAACAAGACAGAAAAUAGUCAUUUACUAAAAUGAAGGUAAUUUUUACCACAAAGGAAGACAUUUAAAUAAGAUAGAUGAGAAUUACAUACAAUAAAUUGGCCAUGUUAUUUUGUGGUUUUUCGCACAAGUUAUAAGAGAAAUCUAACCACUGGUUUAUCGGAUUUAUGUAGUCGCAUGAUUUGGAUAAAAAAAACAACACCGAUAACGUGGCUUCAUGCAUGUAAAAUCACAUAGACAUUACUAAAAAAAAAAAAUUAUGCCUUAUUCCCCGAAAAACAAUAUUGCUGGCAUGUUAAACAUGUCUGAUGAGUAUUAUCGCGAUUCCUUAAUAUUGCAAAUCUGAUAUUUAGCUUCCGUCAUGAUUAGACUGGUCAUAUAUUGGAUUGACAGAACGGACAAGUGGGUUUUAUGACUGAUGUUCAUGAAUAAUCUUCGGAGACAAUCUACUUUGAAAUCAUGUUCGUCAAUUAGUUCGGGAUCUACUGAAAUAAUCUCAAACCAAGUUUGCCAUCUUCAGAAACAGUCUUUACAGUAUUUAUGUUCUCGAAGUUAGCCAUCUUUUUAAAUAUAAUGGAACAAUACCCCUGUUCGCAAGUAAUAUUAGAAAACCGUGGCACUGUAACGAUCAGCCAUGAUGGUCACCGAAGAACUGCUUUGUAACCUUGUUCUAGUAGUUUUUGAGGUUAGACAGCACUUAUGCUAGUGAAAUGGGUGUAAUAGGGCCUUGUGUCCACAAUUUUGUUUUUAAUUCCAAACUCCUUUUACAUUUAGGGAGACGAACUGAUUUUGCAUUACCCUGCCAUGUAUAUUGUAUAAUUUCUUAUAUAUAUAUAUAUGUUCCAGACCGUAUGAGUAUUUGGACCGUACGCGUACGGUCUGGACCGUAUCGUACUUUUUCAAAAAUAUCAUACGGUUGGACCGUACGCGUACGGUCUGACUUAUAUUAAAAAGUUGGUCAAGUUUAUUAGUUACAAAUGCAUAUAGCAGAUCAACAUAACUUAACUAUCAAAUUAAUCUAAAAAAAGUUCAAUUGUAAUUGAAACAAAAACUUUAUAUUUUAACUUUUUUUUUAAAUUCACGCUAAUGAAAUCUGUUAGUCUCUAGUAUUAAGCAUGUCGAUCAGUAAUACAUUAAUUGAAUUAUGAUCACUGAAAUUGAAGAUAUUGGAAGAAACAUAAUGUGGGAGGUAAAUGUUCUAAAAUAUUUAGGCAACUUUACCAAAAAAUGCAAAUGCAAAGGAACAUGAAUGAACUGGAUACAUGAAAAUGUAAAAAAAUAUUACGUUACUUGAAUUGUGUCACCUUGGGCGAGAGUACUAAAAUAGGAUUCAGAUAUAAAAUUAAACAAAUACUUAAUUUCAAUUGUUCGUUUGUUCAUUUUAUCUAUCUAAUUGUAAUAAAUUAUCAAUAACAAUGUAAAACUAAAAAUAAAGAUUGUGAUAAUGCUUGUUUAAUUUAACCCAUAUGAUCAAAUAACAUGUAUGGUCAGCUCGUACUGGACCGUACGCGUAUACUCAUACGGUCCGACCGUACGCGUAUGGUUGGACCGUACGAGUAUACGUAUACGGUCCGGACCGUACGCGUACGGUCCAAAUACUCAUAUGGUCUGGAACAUAUAUAUAUAUAUAUAUAUAUAUAUAUAUAUAUAUAUAUAUAUAUAUAAGUGAAAACAAGGUACAUAUUUGUACAUGUACAUGGUAAUCUUAUCAUCAGUAAUAUUAAAAUAUAUCUUGAGGCAUAUAUUGUGUUGACAUUUUACUAAAACACCUGUGUGUAACUCGUGGUAUUAAUUGAUUGAAUAGUGUAUAGACGUUAAUAUUACAUCUAUUUUCGUGCACCACUUGUUUCGUAGUAUCGUGCAAAUAGGUUAUAUGUACAUAAAAACAGAUUAAAAAGGCAAGGUAGCAAUAUGUAGCAACAAGAUAGCAACCUUACAGCUAAAGAUACCGAUAUCCCCUCCCCUAAAACAGACCCAAAGGACACCAUGUUUAAAUGGAAAUGACAGCCAUUGACCGUUUGUCACACAUGAGUUCUUUUCCUGCACUGUUUUUCUUAUGUUUUAUUGUACGUUACUUAUCGAUAUUAAAAGGAGAGGGGUCGCUGGAAAAAUAUAGCGGGGUUCAGUAAUUAUAGUUUUAUAGGAAUUCUAAAUAUAUGCUGCUCUGUAUAAACAUUCCUUUACAAAGCUGUCGUAUUAAUGCUAAACUCCAUUGACGUUUAUACUACUCCCCACGCCCCACUCCGAUUCACUCAUUCAAAAAAUUGCAUCGUCCUGGUUACUACAAACAACUGUAAUUUGUGUCCUCUAUCUGUAACAUUAUUUGAGUAAACACUGCACGCCCCAUCCCUAUUCACUCAUUCAAAAACUUGCGUCGUCCUGGUUACUACCAAUACUGCAAUUUGUGUCCUCUAUCUGUAACAUUAUUUGAGUAAACACUGAGACUCGAGUUUAUAAACUAGAAUCAGUUUCGAGUAAUGCAAGUUAUUUCUAUCUAUUUCUACAUACAUUUUUAAUUAAUUGCUUGCAAUGUACGGAUGGUAAUUUAAAACCAUUUCACCCCAAAAAGUAAGAACUUUUGCAUGUGUAAUUGGCGUAAAUGAAUUAUCGUUUUCUCGAAUAUCUGCUAAAAUUCAUGUGUAUUAUAGAGUUGAAAGAAUAUACUAUAUAUGUAGAUUAAAUACAUGUAUUUGAUAAUAAUAGAAAAAGGCUGAGUCACCUUUUAAGUAGGUAUUUAAAUAAAACCUUUGUGAAAAAUACAUUUCAAAACGGGUAUUUUUAGUUUGAUGAGCUUGACUGGAAAGCAAAAUAUUUCUAACAUGGGUUACUCUUAAAAUGAUGCCAAAUCUUUUCCUAUAUUCUAAAUGAAAAGCGUAAGGAACUGAUAACGAAGAAUUAUAAAUUAAUUUGCAAAACUUCAACUUAUUUUAAGUAGCAGCUAGUUGAAUACACUUAAAGACCCCUUUGUUUGUGAAUACACAACACAACUUAAUAUGAAAAAGGCUCUAAAGAUCCCGUAUCCCUCAAUUGGAUGUAUGUGUAUCUUCAACAGUGAAUACUCUCUACCUAUGUGGAUUAAAAUCUCUUUCUAAUGAUCUUUUGUUUUUUUCUCUGUUUUGUUGACAUCUAUCUUUUGUUAAGACAUGUCUGUUUGAGACUUAGAUUCAUAACCUUUCUAGGGAUUGUAUUAAGUCUUGAUGUUUUCAGAAUUUUUGUCUUGAAUUUUGUCAUAUAUGUGUUUGCAGAUACUACUAUAUGCAGAGACUAAACUAGAUCUAAACAGUAUAGCUAGUAUACAUUUUUGUUAAGGGUCCAUCUGAAACACUCCUCCGGGUGCGGUAUUUUCUCACUGCAUUGAAGACCCAUUGGUUGUCUUCGUCUGUUAUCUGCUCAUUGGUCGGGUUGUUGUCGCUUUGAAAAAAUCCCAAUUUCCCUUCUCAAUUUUACAUAUAUCCCGCCUGUGUCACCUAAUCACAAAAGAGGGACGAAAGAUACCAAAGCGACAGUCAAACUCAUAAAUCUAAAACAAACUGACAACGCCAUGGCUAAAAAUGAAAAAGACAAACAAAAACAGCACACAUGACACAACAUAGAAAACUAAUGAAUAAACAACACGAAAGGCAUAUAAACUUCACCAAUAGGAUUCAAACACCACACUUAUGUAAUAUGUAAUACCAUACAGUACAUGAGUACUUGUAUAUAUAUAUAUAUAUAUAUAUAUAUAUAUAUAUAUAUAUAUAUAUAUAUAUCACUGCUAUGCUUAUUUGUACAAAUAGUUAACGUUCGGGUUGAUUGGAAAUAUAUCUUUGUAGAAUAGCGUGUAUUUUGACACGAAGAAUGCUUCUUUGUCCGUUUUUGUCCUACAUUUUAUAAUUAGUAAAUAUUUUCAAAACAAACAAUUUAAAUUGCUUUGUAUGCAGAUUUUACCCAUUUAAAGAAAUAGGUCAAAUACAAGUUAUAUAUUUAUAACGUUUACAAGAACGUGAGAUAUAAAUAUAUGUUUGAAAUUGAUUAUUUAUUGAAAAAACAAUGUCGAUACCUUCAACCAAAGCGAAAAUAGAACUGACAAAUAGGAGAAAAUAACCCAGGAAAUUGUUCUUUUUUGGGGGGGAGGGGGACGGGGAUGGACGUCAUUAUACAACCAUCCAUAACAUUUUUUGUGUAGUUGAUAGAAUAGUAAACAUAGAAAGAUUUUUUUUUUUUAUGAAAUAUUUAAACGGGUGGAUAUACUAGAUGGAACUGUGUUGAACGUCCAGGAACAAACAUUACAUGCAUAUUAGCUCGAUUAUCAUGUAUGAAUAUGAAUCAUGCAUUAGUAAUUUUAAUCGACACGUUGAGUCGAAUUUUUAACCUGCUAUGAUCAGUAUUGCUAACAAGCAUUAGAAAGGCAUACAACCUUAGCUCUUUGCUAUUACUCCUCAUUUUUGCGUGCAUAGCAAAGACACAGCAGAAAUAUGCUAGAAACAUAACAAUAUUAAAAACCUUCGGAUACUUUUUUGUUUAGGCUUUUUCCCAUGGUUUAUACGCACUCUGUCAUUGAUCACCUAUUCGGAGGCUUAGUUUCAUUUGCCAGUUUGUCAUAAUAUACAUACAUGUAAUAUCCAAUUAUCCGACUGAUUUAUAUAUAGAAUACUAGUUUUCCUCACACAUUUUUAUCAAGUCAUAUAUGAUUCUUUUUCAUUGUACUUUUGUUAGCUAAUAACUAUUUGUCUGUACACAAAAAGUAUAUCAACGUCAUCAUUUGGAUCACGUUUUUUGUUAAACUUCUACUAUCAUAUAUCAAGGUCGAUGGAACAUUUUAUUUUGUAUGUAAAUUACUCACAUGGUAGAAAUUUAAUCUUUUUAAAUAAUAAUUAGUUCAAAUCUAAAAAAAGGCGCCUACCGAUAGGACGACCACUUAUCCAAUGUGUUGGUUUAAGUCAUACAUGUCAUAUAAACAACUUCUUUCUAUACGUAUCACUUGCUCGGUCACUGACCAAGAUACAACGAGCAGUCGAAGGGUUGAAUGCUCAUCAAUACCAGGCCUUUUACAUAUCAAAUGACAAGAUCCUAUAUGUCAAGGGUUUAUUCUUUGAAGCUCAAGUUAAUAUUCAGUGCCUCAGUCUAUCCAUUCUAUGAUUUAUCUAGUUAUUGCUAUUAAUUUGCCACUGGACAUACUUCGCUAGACUGUUUUGUUUCUUUUUUAUUUUGAUAUAGUUUAUUUUGUAUCUCUUUCUUGUUACUGUUUAAACGCAUGGACUCGGAAAUAAUCAUACUGAACAGUUCAAAUUGUACGUUAGUUCAGUAACGAACGGAAAUUUAUUACAGGACAAGACCAUAUAUUACUGACGAGACAAUAAGAAGUGUACUAACUGGAAGGACUAAGGCGUUCAGCAAAUAAUUGUUGAAACUCGAUUGCUUAUUUAUGCACAUUUUAAGAGAUUUAUAUGUAGGAGUUUGACAGAAAUAUUCAGUGAUUUAAACCCUUUAUAGUCUUUACGUCACAUUAUCUCAUAAUAAAAAAGGUCUAAUCUAUUGGUUUUCUAUGUUAUAUAAGGAAGUAAAAGAAAUAAAAAAAUAAAACUUCCAAAAAAUGAAUUUUUCAUUUUAAAGUUUGUCUGCUCUUUCGUGAACUUCUUACAACAAAAGAAAAUAAAGCAAUUAUCAUAAAAGACAUGGUUCUCAAAAAACAUCACCGCACAUCUAUUGAAAUACACAGUAUCGUGAAGAGGACAGUUACGAGGGUCUGGAUGGUACGGGGUUCCUUCUUUUCUUUAAUUUUUAUUUGUUUGCCAUUGAUCUCUUUCAUUUAUUUAUUUUUUAGGAGGGGGCAUUAUUCUCUAUUCUCUAUGUAUAAGUACCCUAUUGUUCUUUCUUCUUCUUUUUUUGUUCUUAAUUUAAAACUUUUACUCAUUAUUCCUAUUCUCUAACCCAAUUCAGCUAUGGAUUUGAAAAGACAACGAAAGAGUGUAAGAUAAAAUACAAAUAUAAAAAGCAAACAGUUUAAGCUUAAUUAGGGAAAACAAACUGACUCCAGCUAAACAGGGGAGGUAUAUGCUAUUUUACACACGCCUAGCCACUGGUAGUCGACUGGUCAUUUCGGAAAGGAAAGAAAGAUGAAUCUGCGUUAAUUUGUGGCAUACUUAUUUGAUAUUAACAACCCAUUAGAGCUAGUAAACAAACUCAGCAUAUACCAGGAUUAGCAUUUUGUACGCCAGCAGCGGGUUUCGUCUACAAAAGACUCAUCGGUGGACGCUCGAAUCAUAAAGUUAAAAAUGCAAAAUAAAGUACGAAGUUGAAAAGCACAAUAAAGGGCCUAAAAUACUCAAAGUUUUUGACAAGUAUAGAUAGCAAAGUUAUCUAUUUCUGGGUAAUAGUAAUUCAUUCAAAGUGGCAUUAUGGCAUUUGUUCUAUUUUUUGUCGUUUUGUUGUUGUGUUACAUAUUUGUUUUGGUUCAUUACUUUGUAUAUACAAUUAGGCCGUUAGUUUUCUCAGAUGUAUUGUUUUACAUAGGUCAGUUUGUGGCCUUUUAUACUAUGCGGUAUGGGCAUUGCUGAAGGCCGUACGAAGACCUGUAGUUGUUAAUUUCUAUGUCAUUUGGUCUCUUGUCAAAAGUUUCUCAUUGUUAAUCAUACCACAACUUCUAUUUUAAGUUUUCGAAUAUUUUCUUUUACAGAAAUUAGUGGAAAUGAUGACAUGUACAGAUGUCCAGAACAUUUGUCGAGAUCCAUUUAUCUUAAGACAUUCGGAGAGAAAUGUUAUCGAUACGAGAAGAACGAAUUAUAUUGGACGACGGCAAGAAGUCGGUGUAGGGGAGAAGAAGGCGAUCUAGUUCAGAUAAGAGAUCAAGCAACACAAGACUGGGUCAUGUCUACGUUAAAUGAGCUCCAUUGGAACAAAAACGGCGUAUGGAUAGGAGCUCAUGACAGAGACAAUGAAAUGGAUUGGCGAUGGGUGACUGGUGAGUAAUUGGAUAGCGGAAUGAAAACUAAGUAAAUAGAUAAUAUUUGGACGAAAUCUGUAGGUCAAUCUAAAUAUACAAAACUGAUAUCACCUUAAAAAAAAAACCAUAAACAAAAAAACAUAAUGUAACGUAAGGGUAUCCACAUUGCAUUUAUUUUGACGGUUUUGUUCAACUUCGUGUUUUUUUUAAGAAACAUACACACGUUUUGAGUCUGUGCGAGAAUUUCUCGUUGCAUUGAAGACCUGUUGGUGACCUUCUGCUGUUGUCUGCUCUAUGGUCGGGUUGUUGUCUUGGCACAUUCCCCAUUUCCAUUCUCAAUUUUAUCAUAAUUUACUAUGUAGUUCCACACGUUUGAUUUUGAAUCUAUACUGGUUUACAGUUUUUUCUUAUGUUGUACUGUCCCGAUAAGGGGGAGGGUUUGGCGCAAGCAAAAUAAAAAAGAAGAUGUGGUAUGAUUGCCAAUGAGAUAACUCUCCACAAGAGACCAAAAUGACACAGAAAUUAACAACUAUAGGUCACCAAAUAGCCUUCAACAAUGAACAAAGCCCAUACCGCUUAUUCAGCUAUAAAAAGCCCCGGAAUGACAUUUUAAAACAAUUCAAACGAGAAACUGCCUUAUUAAUGUAUGUUUAACUUGCCAAAGCUUGUAUGUGUCUGUCCAAAGUCAGGAGUGUGUAAUUUUAAUAGUCGUUGUCGUUUGUUGCUGUAUAUCAUACUUGUAUUUGUUUUCUCGUUUGAAUUGUAUUAUAUUAUUGGCAAUAACACACAUUCUUCUUAUAUUUAUAUGAAUCAUCAAUAAUCGGGUUUGAAAUUAAUUUUUAAUUUUUUCGGAUUUUUAAAGUAUAUUAAGCUAUGAUGAUAAAAGUGCAUAUUACCAAAUUAAAAAAAAAAGCACGAGCCGUUUAGUCUCUAAAAAAACAUAUUGAUGUUACUACCGAGCGGAAGAAGUCAAAUGACCAUAUGUCUGUACCCUCGUCGGCGCUUGGGAAUACACUUAUAUAUUGACAUACCAUUCUAUUUCAUAGGAAAGCAACACCACUUGGCCAUUGUCUUCAAUUCAGUUUGUGUAACAUAAGAAAAACGGUAAAAACUUGUUUUCAGAGUUAUCUUUCUUAGGUAUUGUGUAACCCCUUAACGCACUGUUACUGUUUUUUAGGCGAAAGGAUAACUUGGAAUAAUUGGGCAAGUGGUCAGCCAAACUGUAACUGGUUUUGUUACGAGGACUGUGGGAAUUUACGUCGAAAUGAUGGCGGAAAAUGGCAUGACUAUGCAUGCAGUUCGUUUAAUUAUGUAUACUCAUUUAUUUGCCAAUAUGGUAAGUAGCUCAUAUUAUAUUCCUCUGUUUUUGAAAUUCCAGUACAGUCUGCUUAUUGAGAUUAGUUUAUAUGGGCCCAUGUCUAAUCAGGCCACCUUUAAACCACAGAGUGGUAUCUUUGGAUUUCAAUGAAAUGUUUUUGUUGUCAUGGUUAUAAGAUUUCGUCUCUCUGAAAUUAUGUUUCCAACUAAAAAAUAGUUAAGACGUUACGCACGGUAGUGGUGCCACUCAGCACGACGUUCCAAAUAAAACGACGAUUUUGACAUUGUUCCGAAAGUUUCAAACGUUAUCCUUAGAACUUGUGCACUUGGAGUAACCGUAGAAUUUACAUUCUUCUUACAAGUAUUCAUUUUGUAGAGAUUUUCGAAGUUGCUUCUUUAUAUGCUUUUUUUCAAACUGAUGUAUAAAUAAAAAAUUCCAUUGAAUAAAAACAAAAAUCUAAUUACAUGAACAAUUUUUAAUUUUGCGAAAAAUUGUCUCCAACAAUAACACAUAGUAACAAUUUGAUGUCUUGUUAUAUGAUUUAAAAUCUGUUUUCUAUAUUUUUUGGCGUUUUUUUAUCUUCAAAAUUUUUGGAAAUUUAAAAAACUAAGUUUGAUACUACGAGUGAAACAAAUGCAGGAAACAUCUUAACCUAAUAUAUGUCAAUCCAUGUUGAAUGAAAUCAACAAAAUAUUCUUUAAUUUUAUAUGGGAUGGAAAAACAGAAAAAAUCAACGUGAUACAUGAUUGAAGUAAAAAGGAUGGAGGUUUGAAAAUAGUCAUUGACAAUCUUCACUUUAUUUAAAGUCGUUGGGUGAGGCGAUUUUUUUCAAAUUUGAAUGGGGACUGGCAAAAUAUUCUUAAGUUGAUAUUGAAAAAAUUUGGAGGUGCAAGAUCCUUUUCUUUACAAAACUUCAAAUUUUUAGAGAUUGGAAAUCAACUCCGCAAUCCUUUUUGGAAAGAUGUUCAAGCUUUACACUCAUCUAAACACAUGUUAAAACUGAUCAAGGAGUGUCUCUCGAUGGAUAUCUUGAAUUUUGUGAAAACAGAAGAUUUCCAUAUAUAAAGAUGGGAGUGCCGUGUGCAAAAACUCUGUCACAUUUUGACCAUAAGAAGAGAUUUUUUCACAUUUGAUAGAUUAAACAAAAAGUUCAACAUAUUAAAAAAAAAAUUUUUUUGAAAAGAAUUUAAUUUCCUAUGCUACUUCGCUACUUCAUCACACCUAUCUAGAUGGUUGAGUACUUACAAACUAGACUAAACCCAAUGUAAAGCAAAGCAAGUUACCUAAGGUCAUGUUGCUCGUAAAUGAUUGACUUUUAAUAUCAUAGGUUUUUGUCCCAAAAGUUAUUCGAUAUUGGUGACAUAUAUUUCGUAAUUUGUGUUAAUAAUUUAACUUAAAAUCUGUUCAUGAUUUUAUUCAAAUUCAUUAUUAACUAGAUAUGAUUAAUUAACAACUUCUUGUCAAAAAUUCUUACUAGAGGUUGUUCUCUCAUUUUUGUCUACUAGUAAUUAAAAGUUAUAAAUAUAGUCUGUCAUCGCACACCGCGGGGAAAUUAUCACGUUGUGAUUGGUUUAACGCUGUCACGUGGUGACCCCCUAUGAGACUGUAGGGGUUAGUAAAUUUCAUAGGGGGUUCAUGACGCGUUAAUGGUGACGUCAUUUGUUAAUGUUGUGUUUCAUUGUUUUAUUUUCCAUCAAAACGCAGCAAAAAAAGUCCAGCGUGCGCUAAAUUCGUUAUACGGUUCACUACUGACCCUUACGAACCAUAGAGGAUAAGUAAAAUCGAUAGGGGAUUCGGCCUCCAGCCUCCCCCCUAUGGAUUUUACCAACCCUCUAUGGAUCCGUAGAGGGUCAGCAGCGAACCAUAUAACUUGUAUUAUCGCCAUAUCAAACAGCAGAUUUAAAACAUUUGAAUAUGAUUUCCUGAUCCUGAUAGAAUAAUAAACCGUAUCACAUAGUACAAACGCCUUAUCCAGAAUGCUACCUUUUUUAAUUGUAUUUAAAUAUAACAUUUCAGACAUGA